RNAcentral lists this long non-coding RNA (1908 nucleotides) under Manduca sexta (tobacco hornworm). Its description in RNAcentral is "uncharacterized LOC119189597, transcript variant X2". The record is from RNAcentral. Lineage: Eukaryota; Metazoa; Arthropoda; Insecta; Lepidoptera; Sphingidae.
AACACUUUCAUACACAUGUUGUCGCGAAAGGUCGCGAAAUCAUUGAAAGGCUGGCAACACCAAAGUGAGUAUUUGCUGAUGUAUACAUAGAUAUUGUGAGUAUGUUCCUAUAUUUACGCAGAUAUUGUGAGUAUCUUUCACCAAAUAUAAGUAUAUUAUAUUAUGAAUAUUGUCCAUAGAUAGAAUACUAUAUCGUCUAUGUGUAUUAAGUGAGUUUUGCACACUUUUCUGUUGAGAGUACCGCGUACAGAAUAUAUCUUGCAUGAGUGAGUGAGUGGUUUACUGUAGUACCAACAUUCCCUGACUAUAAAGUUACAAUAUGGCCGAAAGUACAAAUGCGCGCCAUUUAAGUAGAACUUUUGAAGUUGUGUUUAACUAAAGAUCUAAACAUAUAAAUGUGAGUGGGUUUUGUGUUACUUUUCUAUUCGCACAUGAGCGGUCUCUCUGAUGUGACACGAUAAGGAAUUUGCCGCCAUCUAGGAAUGUUGUCUUGGAAAACCACAGUCCGUAUAACACAGAACAUUACAAGGUAUGUCAUGAUGCUGUUAUUUUUCGUUUCCUUCCGACAUAUGAUCAACUUAUUAAAAAACCCUUACUCAUAAAUGCGAAGCAGAUUUAGACAUAUUUGAUUUUGUUCUCAUAUCAAGAGAUAACCUACACUUACACACAUUGAACAUACCUAUUUUUAUAUUUUAUUAGGUGCGACAUCAUCGCACGUGAUAUUUUACCUUUUCGCCACUAAACCCCCAAACGGGCGAAAACAUGGUGGAGAUGCUGGGAUAUGAUCCCAUAAUAAAAAAUAAAAUUAUUGUCGGAAGGAUAAUGAAUGGCAUCGUUGACAUAUACCUAAACAAAACAAAUCAUUGCUAAAAGAAAAAAAAAAUUGUUUUGGUAUUUGUUUAUUAUCAUCCAGGAAAACCCUCGCUCACUCGAAACCUAUAAAACUCUUAUACAAUGUGGUGUUACUUGAAAGAACUGUAAUUACUUCUACGUUGUCUACAAAAGGAAAGUAAGAAUUUACUUUAAAACAUCGAGACUUCCUAGCGUCAUGUAUGUGUUGUGUGUCAAAUUCACCAUUAAUAAUAAUACGCGUCUACAUAUGGCGCGCAUGAUGAAUAACAAUGGAAAUUAUAAAAGUCCAGAUAAAUAAUAUUCAAUGUUACAUUAUGUAUGUUAAAUUUCAUGAAGUUAGGAAUUUUAGGUAGGUAAAAUUAUAAUUGAAUUUGUCAAUUUAGUUAGGUACUAAGUAUUUUUUCGCUUAAGCGUCGCGUUUUAGAUUCAAUAUGUAAAUACUUUACUUCGAAAGAUUAUUAGAGAAUAAUACUAGUAUAAUUUAUCCGUUUGAAUUUUAGGUUACAGGUAGGGUGAUAACCAUGAACCACAUAACUUUUACCAAAAUUGUAAAUUGUAAUGGUUCAGAAAACAUUCUAUUGACCGGAAAUGCUCGAUCAAAAUGCGCACUAGGGAUGUGCUUGUGGGCGUUUUGCAUUUAUGACCGAAUUUAGACUAUGUUAUAAUUGAAAAGUUUUGACGAUCGCAUUAAAUUUUGAAAUAUGUAGAUCGGACAGAUAAAAUAGUAUUUGUUUAAAAAAAAAAAUAUCUGUAAAUUAUGAAUGCAACAAUGUCGUAAUACUUGAUUCAAGUGAAGAAAUCUAUUAAAAUAUCUUAGGUAUGACUUAAUAAGAACAGGAAUGAAAACCUCAUAUAUUAUAAUUUUAUACCAAAAUUAAAUUUUCUCUUUUUAUUUCCUUAUAUGACUGUUGUGUAAUAAUUCUAACGGUUUGUUAGCUUAUAUUUACGCAUUCCUUUCUAGAACAAUAUUUUCCGGUACUAUCUGGAGCAAUAUUUUCAUAUUUUAACGCAAGCGUAACCGUAAAGUUUCUUUGUUCUACAAAUAUAUAAAAAAAA